AACGAACGCUGGCGGCAUGCCUAACACAUGCAAGUCGAACGAAGUCUUCGGACUUAGUAGCGCACGGGUGCGUAACGCGUGGGAAUCUGCCCUUGGGUGCGGAAUAACUUCUCGAAAGGGAUGCUAAUACCGCAUAAUGUCGUAAGACCAAAGAUUUAUCGCCCAAGGAUGAGCCCGCGUAAGAUUAGCUAGUUGGUGGGGUAAAAAGCCUACCAAGGCGACGAUCUUUAGCUGGUCUGAGAGGAUGAUCAGCCACACUGGGACUGAGACACGGCCCAGACUCCUACGGGAGGCAGCAGUGGGGAAUAUUGGACAAUGGGCGAAAGCCUGAUCCAGCAAUGCCGCGUGAGUGAUGAAGGCCCAGGGUUGUAAAGCUCUUUUACCUAGGGAUGAUAAU
RNAcentral lists this ribosomal RNA (397 nucleotides) under uncultured bacterium. RNAcentral describes it as "bacterial SSU rRNA". It matches the Rfam family "Bacterial small subunit ribosomal RNA", at positions 29 to 452 of the family's 1533-position model. The record is from RNAcentral.